RNAcentral lists this ribosomal RNA (459 nucleotides) under uncultured bacterium. RNAcentral describes it as "partial 16S ribosomal RNA". It matches the Rfam family "Bacterial small subunit ribosomal RNA", at positions 338 to 795 of the family's 1533-position model. The record is from RNAcentral.
CCUACGGGAGGCAGCAGUGAGGAAUAUUGGUCAAUGGGCGGGAGCCUGAACCAGCCAAGCCGCGUGAGGGAAGAAGGUACAGCGUAUCGUAAACCUCUUUUGUCAGGGAACAAAGGCGGGGACUAGUCCCCGGAUGAGGGUACCUGAAGAAAAAGCAUCGGCUAACUCCGUGCCAGCAGCCGCGGUAAUACGGAGGAUGCGAGCGUUAUCCGGAUUUAUUGGGUUUAAAGGGUGCGCAGGCGGCCUGUUAAGUCAGCGGGAAAAGCCCGGGGCUCAACCCCGGCGAGCCGUUGAAACUGGCGGGCUGGAGUUGGAGAGAAGUACGCGGAAUGCGCGGUGUAGCGGUGAAAUGCUUAGAUAUCGCGCAGAACCCCGAUUGCGAAGGCAGCGUACGGGCUCCACACUGACGCUGAGGCACGAAAGCGUGGGUAUCGAACAGGAUUAGAUACCCGAGUAGUC